AGAGUUUGAUCAUGGCUCAGGAUGAACGCUGGCGGCGUGCUUAACACAUGCAAGUUGAACGAAGCUCUUGGAACCUAUUCCUUCGGGGAGAAGUUUUAUGAGACUUAGUGGCGAACGGGUGAGUAACACGUGAGCAACCAACCCCUGACAGUGGAAUAACAACGGGAAACCGUUGCUAAUACCGCAUAAUAUCCUGUUACGGUAUCGUAAUGGGAUCAAAGAUUUUAUCGGUCAGGGACGGGCUCGCGUCAGAUUAGGUAGUAGGUAAGGUAACGGCUUACCUAGCCUGCGAUCGGUAGCCGGACUGAGAGGUCGAUCGGCCACAUUGGGACUGAGACACGGCCCAGACUCCUACGGGAGGCAGCAGUGGGGAAUAUUGGGCAAUGGGGGCAACCCUGACCCAGCGACGCCGCGUGAAGGACGAAGGCAUUCGUGUUGUAAACUUCUUUGGAGAGGGACGAAGAUGACGGUACCUCUCGAACAAGCCACGGCUAACUACGUGCCAGCAGCCGCGGUAAUACGUAGGUGGCAAGCGUUAUCCGGAAUUACUGGGUGUAAAGGGCGCGCAGGCGGCCCUGCAAGUCGGAUGUGAAAGAUCAAGGCUCAACCUUGACAUGCCAUUCGAAACUGUGGGACUUGAGUGUCAGAGGGGAAAGUGGAAUUCCUAGUGGAGCGGUAAAAUGCGCAGAUAUUAGGAGGAACACCGGUGGCGAAGGCGACUUUCUGGCUGACAACUGACGCUGAGGCGCGAAAGCGUGGGGAGCAAACAGGAUUAGAUAC
This 780-nucleotide ribosomal RNA is filed under the name uncultured Clostridiaceae bacterium. RNAcentral's name for it is "bacterial SSU rRNA". It matches the Rfam family "Bacterial small subunit ribosomal RNA", at positions 8 to 785 of the family's 1533-position model. The record is from RNAcentral. Lineage: Bacteria; Bacillati; Bacillota; Clostridia; Eubacteriales; Clostridiaceae.